Callorhinchus milii (elephant shark) is the source of this 215-nucleotide long non-coding RNA. RefSeq lists it as uncharacterized. The transcript is spliced from 3 exons. The record is from RefSeq and is a predicted model, not a curated record. NCBI's taxonomy places the organism in Eukaryota, Metazoa, Chordata, Chondrichthyes, Chimaeriformes, Callorhinchidae.
UUCCUUCACACACUGCGAGAGAGAGAGAGAGAGAGAGAGGGGGAGAGAGAUCAGAGCUGGUUUUGAUGCUCGGGAGAUAAAGCCACUGGAAGAUGAGCGGACAGUCAAGCGACUGACAUUGAAUCAAUCAUUCCUCACACGGAGUGGUCUGAAGGAAAGCCUCUUGUGUGCUGUAGUCAAACUAUUGGAGUUUCAAGACCCCCUCGGUAUCGCUG